Molecule: ribosomal RNA, 492 nt
Filed under: uncultured bacterium
Lineage: Bacteria
Description: partial 16S ribosomal RNA
Rfam family: Bacterial small subunit ribosomal RNA
Source: RNAcentral
AGUGAACGCUGGCGGUAGGCCUAACACAUGCAAGUCGAACGGCAGCACAGUAAGAGCCUGCUCUUACGGGUGGCGAGUGGCGGACGGGUGAGGAAUACAUCGGAAUCUACUUUUUCGUGGGGGAUAACGUAGGGAAACUUACGCUAAUACCGCAUACGACCUACGGGUGAAAGCAGGGGAUCUUCGGACCUUGCGCGAUUGAAUGAGCCGAUGUCGGAUUAGCUAGUUGGCGGGGUAAAGGCCCACCAAGGCGACGAUCCGUAGCUGGUCUGAGAGGAUGAUCAGCCACACUGGAACUGGGACACGGUCAAGACUCCUACGGGAGGCAGCAGUGGGGAAUAUUGGACAAUGGGCGCAAGCCUGAUCCAGCCAUACCGCGUGGGUGAAGAAGGCCUUCGGGUUGUAAAGCCCUUUUGUUGGGAAAGAAAAGCAGCAGGUUAAUACCCCGCUGUUCUGACGGUACCCAAAGAAUAAGCACCGGCUAACUUCGUG